Molecule: transfer RNA, 76 nt
Filed under: Pseudoflavonifractor capillosus
Lineage: Bacteria; Bacillati; Bacillota; Clostridia; Eubacteriales; Oscillospiraceae
Also listed under: 14 other names
Description: tRNA-Ala
Rfam family: tRNA
About the family: Transfer RNA (tRNA) molecules are approximately 80 nucleotides in length. Their secondary structure includes four short double-helical elements and three loops (D, anti-codon, and T loops).
Source: RNAcentral
GGGCUCGUAGCUCAGCUGGGAGAGCGCUGCGUUCGCAUCGCAGAGGUCGAGGGUUCGAUCCCCUUCGAGUCCACCA